This 837-nucleotide ribosomal RNA is filed under the name Pezicula sporulosa. RNAcentral's name for it is "eukaryotic LSU rRNA". It matches the Rfam family "Eukaryotic large subunit ribosomal RNA", at positions 78 to 932 of the family's 3401-position model. The record is from RNAcentral. RNAcentral also lists the same sequence under 1 other name. Lineage: Eukaryota; Fungi; Ascomycota; Leotiomycetes; Helotiales; Dermateaceae.
CCUCAGUAACGGCGAGUGAAGCGGUAACAGCUCAAAUUUGAAAUCUGGGUCUUUCAGGCUCCGAGUUGUAAUUUGUAGAAGAUGCUUUGGGUGCGGCCCCGGUCUAAGUUCCUUGGAACAGGACGUCAUAGAGGGUGAGAAUCCCGUAUGUGAUCGGUGGCUUGCGCCCGUGUAAAGCUCUUUCGACGAGUCGGGUUGUUUGGGAAUGCAGCUCUAAAUGGGUGGUAAAUUUCAUCUAAAGCUAAAUAUUGGCCAGAGACCGAUAGCGCACAAGUAGAGUGAUCGAAAGAUGAAAAGGACUUUGGAAAGAGAGUUAAACAGUACGUGAAAUUGUUGAAAGGGAAGCGCUUGCAACCAGACUUGCGCGGGGUUGAUCAUCCGGGGUUCUCCCCGGUGCACUCGGCCUCGCUCAGGCCAGCAUCGGUUUCGGUGGUUGGAUAAAGGCCUUGGGAAUGUGACUUCUUUCGGGGAGUGUUAUAGCCCUCGGUGCAAUGCAGCCUACCGGGACCGAGGACCGCGCUUCGGCUAGGAUGCUGGCGUAAUGGUUGUAAGCGACCCGUCUUGAAACACGGACCAAGGAGUCUAACAUCUAUGCGAGUGUUUGGGUGUCAAACCCAUACGCGUAAUGAAAGUGAACGGAGGUGAGAACCCUUAAGGGUGCAUCAUCGACCGAUCCUGAUGUCUUCGGAUGGAUUUGAGUAAGAGCAUAGCUGUUGGGACCCGAAAGAUGGUGAACUAUGCCUGAAUAGGGUGAAGCCAGAGGAAACUCUGGUGGAGGCUCGCAGCGGUUCUGACGUGCAAAUCGAUCGUCAAAUUUGGGCAUAGGGGCGAAAGACU